CACGUAGGGGGCGAGCGUUGUCCGGAUUUAUUGGGCGUAAAGAGCUCGUAGGUGGUUCGGUAAGUCGGGUGUGAAAACUCUGGGCUCAACUCAGAGACGCCACCUGAUACUGCUGUGACUUGAGUCUGGUAGGGGAGUGUGGAAUUCCCGGUGUAGCGGUGAAAUGCGCAGAUAUCGGGAGGAACACCAGUGGCGAAGGCGGCACUCUGGGCCAGUACUGACACUGAGGAGCGAAAGCGUGGGUAGCGAA
Molecule: ribosomal RNA, 250 nt
Filed under: uncultured Acidimicrobiales bacterium
Lineage: Bacteria; Bacillati; Actinomycetota; Acidimicrobiia; Acidimicrobiales
Description: partial 16S ribosomal RNA
Rfam family: Bacterial small subunit ribosomal RNA
Source: RNAcentral